UACGUAGGGGGCAAGCGUUGUCCGGAAUUAUUGGGCGUAAAGCGCGCGCAGGCGGCUAUUUAAGUCUGGUGUUUAAACCUUGGGCUCAACCUGGGGUCGCACUGGAAACUGGGUGGCUUGAGUACAGAAGAGGAAAGUGGAAUUCCACGUGUAGCGGUGAAAUGCGUAGAGAUGUGGAGGAACACCAGUGGCGAAGGCGACUUUCUGGGCUGUAACUGACGCUGAGGCGCGAAAGCCAGGGGAGCAAACGGG
This 252-nucleotide ribosomal RNA is filed under the name uncultured bacterium. RNAcentral describes it as "partial 16S ribosomal RNA". It matches the Rfam family "Bacterial small subunit ribosomal RNA", at positions 524 to 776 of the family's 1533-position model. The record is from RNAcentral.